Molecule: ribosomal RNA, 1257 nt
Filed under: uncultured Acinetobacter sp.
Lineage: Bacteria; Pseudomonadati; Pseudomonadota; Gammaproteobacteria; Moraxellales; Moraxellaceae
Description: bacterial SSU rRNA
Rfam family: Bacterial small subunit ribosomal RNA
Source: RNAcentral
UAGCUUGCUACCUGACCUAGCGGCGGACGGGUGAGUAAUGCUUAGGAAUCUGCCUAUUAGUGGGGGACAACAUUCCGAAAGGAAUGCUAAUACCGCAUACGCCCUACGGGGGAAAGCAGGGGAUCCUCGGACCUUGCGCUAAUAGAUGAGCCUAAGUCAGAUUAGCUAGUUGGUGGGGUAAAGGCCUACCAAGGCGACGAUCUGUAGCGGGUCUGAGAGGAUGAUCCGCCACACUGGGACUGAGACACGGCCCAGACUCCUACGGGAGGCAGCAGUGGGGAAUAUUGGACAAUGGGCGAAAGCCUGAUCCAGCCAUGCCGCGUGUGUGAAGAAGGCCUUUUGGUUGUAAAGCACUUUAAGCGAGGAGGAGGCUACUUAGAUUAAUACUCUAGGAUAGUGGACGUUACUCGCAGAAUAAGCACCGGCUAACUCUGUGCCAGCAGCCGCGGUAAUACAGAGGGUGCGAGCGUUAAUCGGAUUUACUGGGCGUAAAGCGUGCGUAGGCGGCUUCUUAAGUCGGAUGUGAAAUCCCUGAGCUUAACUUAGGAAUUGCAUUCGAUACUGGGAAGCUAGAGUAUGGGAGAGGAUGGUAGAAUUCCAGGUGUAGCGGUGAAAUGCGUAGAGAUCUGGAGGAAUACCGAUGGCGAAGGCAGCCAUCUGGCCUAAUACUGACGCUGAGGUACGAAAGCAUGGGGAGCAAACAGGAUUAGAUACCCUGGUAGUCCAUGCCGUAAACGAUGUCUACUAGCCGUUGGGGCCUUUGAGGCUUUAGUGGCGCAGCUAACGCGAUAAGUAGACCGCCUGGGGAGUACGGUCGCAAGACUAAAACUCAAAUGAAUUGACGGGGGCCCGCACAAGCGGUGGAGCAUGUGGUUUAAUUCGAUGCAACGCGAAGAACCUUACCUGGUCUUGACAUAGUAAGAACUUUCCAGAGAUGGAUUGGUGCCUUCGGGAACUUACAUACAGGUGCUGCAUGGCUGUCGUCAGCUCGUGUCGUGAGAUGUUGGGUUAAGUCCCGCAACGAGCGCAACCCUUUUCCUUAUUUGCCAGCGGGUUAAGCCGGGAACUUUAAGGAUACUGCCAGUGACAAACUGGAGGAAGGCGGGGACGACGUCAAGUCAUCAUGGCCCUUACGACCAGGGCUACACACGUGCUACAAUGGUCGGUACAAAGGGUUGCUACCUAGCGAUAGGAUGCUAAUCUCAAAAAGCCGAUCGUAGUCCGGAUUGGAGUCUGCAACUCGACUCCAUGAAGUCG